CAGCCGCCGCGGGAAUACGUAGGUGGCAAGCGUUGUCCGGAAUUAUUGGGCGUAAAGGGCUCGCAGGCGGUUUCUUAAGUCUGAUGUGAAAGCCCCCGGCUCGACCGGGGAGGGUCAUUGGAAACUGGGAAACUUGAGUGCAGAAGAGGAGAGUGGAAUUCCACGUGUAGCGGUGAAAUGCGUAGAGAUGUGGAGGAACACCAGUGGCGAAGGCGACUCUCUGGUCUGUAACUGACGCUGAGGAGCGAAAGCGUGGGGAGCGAACAGGAUUAGAUACCCGGGUAGUCCCUGUCUCUUAUAA
Molecule: ribosomal RNA, 301 nt
Filed under: uncultured bacterium
Lineage: Bacteria
Description: partial 16S ribosomal RNA
Rfam family: Bacterial small subunit ribosomal RNA
Source: RNAcentral